This 144-nucleotide non-coding RNA is filed under the name Streptomyces sp. The record is from RNAcentral. Lineage: Bacteria; Bacillati; Actinomycetota; Actinomycetes; Kitasatosporales; Streptomycetaceae.
GCCGUUCCGGCCCCGUGGUGGACUGCCCGAGCCAUGUACGGCGGCAGGAGAGGAAGCCCGGUGUGAAUCCGGCGCGGUCCCGCCACUGUGACCGGGGAAGAACAGCCCCGGGAGCCAGGAACUCUCACCGCCGGUCUCGUCGAA